CAGCAGCCGCGGGAAUACGGAGGGUGCAAGCGUUAUCCGGAUUUAUUGGGUUUAAACGGUCCGUAGGCGGAUCUGUAAGUCAGUGGUGAAAUCUCACAGCUUAACUGUGAAACUGCCAUUGAUACUGCAGGUCUUGAGUAAAUUUGAAGUGGCUGGAAUAAGUAGUGUAGCGGUGAAAUGCAUAGAUAUUACUUAGAACACCAAUUGCGAAGGCAGGUCACUAAGAUUUAACUGACGCUGAUGGACGAAAGCGUGGGUAGCGAACAGGAUUAGAUACCCCGGUAGUCCCUGUCUCUUAUAC
This 301-nucleotide ribosomal RNA is filed under the name uncultured bacterium. Its description in RNAcentral is "partial 16S ribosomal RNA". It matches the Rfam family "Bacterial small subunit ribosomal RNA", at positions 509 to 807 of the family's 1533-position model. The record is from RNAcentral.